This 428-nucleotide ribosomal RNA is filed under the name Stenotrophomonas sp. Its description in RNAcentral is "bacterial SSU rRNA". It matches the Rfam family "Bacterial small subunit ribosomal RNA", at positions 355 to 775 of the family's 1533-position model. The record is from RNAcentral. Lineage: Bacteria; Pseudomonadati; Pseudomonadota; Gammaproteobacteria; Lysobacterales; Lysobacteraceae.
UGGGGAAUAUUGGACAAUGGGCGCAAGCCUGAUCCAGCCAUACCGCGUGGGUGAAGAAGGCCUUCGGGUUGUAAAGCCCUUUUGUUGGGAAAGAAAAGCAGUCGGUUAAUACCCGAUUGUUCUGACGGUACCCAAAGAAUAAGCACCGGCUAACUUCGUGCCAGCAGCCGCGGUAAUACGAAGGGUGCAGGCGUUACUCGGAAUUACUGGGCGUAAAGCGUGCGUAGGUGGUUGUUUAAGUCUGUCGUGAAAGCCCUGGGCUCAACCUGGGAAUUGCGAUGGAAACUGGGCGACUAGAGUGUGGCAGAGGGUAGUGGAAUUCCUGGUGUAGCAGUGAAAUGCGUAGAGAUCAGGAGGAACAUCCGUGGCGAAGGCGACUGCCUGGGCCAACACUGACACUGAGGCACGAAAGCGUGGGGAGCAAACAG